UAGGGAAUCUUCGGCAAUGGACGAAAGUCUGACCGAGCAACGCCGCGUGAGUGAAGAAGGUUUUCGGAUCGUAAAACUCUGUUGUUAGAGAAGAACAAGGACGUUAGUAACUGAACGUCCUCUGACGGUAUCUAACCAGAAAGCCACGGCUAACUACGUGCCAGCAGCCGCGGUAAUACGUAGGUGGCAAGCGUUGUCCGGAUUUAUUGGGCGUAAAGCGAGCGCAGGCGGUUUGUUAAGUCAGAUGUGAAAUCCCCGGGCUCAACCUGGGAACAGCAUCUGAUACUGGCAAGCUUGAGUCUCGUAGAGGGGGGUGGAAUUCCAGGUGGAGCGGUGAAAUGCGUAGAGAGCUGGAGGAAUACCGGUGGCGAAGGCGGCCCCCUGGACGGAGACUGACGCUCAGGUGCGAAAGCGUGGGGAGCAAACAGG
RNAcentral lists this ribosomal RNA (429 nucleotides) under Chloroflexota bacterium. RNAcentral describes it as "Chloroflexi bacterium partial 16S ribosomal RNA". It matches the Rfam family "Bacterial small subunit ribosomal RNA", at positions 355 to 776 of the family's 1533-position model. The record is from RNAcentral. Lineage: Bacteria; Bacillati; Chloroflexota.